This is a long non-coding RNA of Xiphophorus couchianus (Monterrey platyfish), 4303 nucleotides long. RefSeq lists it as uncharacterized. The transcript has 4 exons. Lineage: Eukaryota; Metazoa; Chordata; Actinopteri; Cyprinodontiformes; Poeciliidae. The record is from RefSeq and is a predicted model, not a curated record.
GGAGCGACACGGCAAUGGCGUCUCGUCUGUGCCGCGUUUGUUUGGCUGCUGGCGUCCCUGGAAUAUCUGAGACGAAAAUGGCGUAUGGAACUAGCCGCAGAUCGAUUAUGGAUAUGCUAAGAUCUACAAUCAAGCUGAGGAAUCCCUUCAAUCAAGCUGAGGAUCGCUUCCGUCAAGCUGAGGAAUCGCUACAAGGUCCGCCCAACCCAUCAAAGGUUGGUUAAAUCAAAGAACUGUUCCAAUGGCGGAUCCAGAAGACAUCUCAGGGUAGGAGCUGUUGUGGGUUUCGCUAUGCUUCACGCUGCUGAAGCUAACGCUGUUGAAGGCCAACGCUAGGCCUCUCGCUUCUGUUUUUUUUUUUUUUGACUCCGCCGUGGGUCAAUGAGCUGAGAAGGAUUCUGCUGCUGCAAUCCUUCAGGUUUAUGGGGGGUUUGUGCCGUUUGAAGCACAUGUCUUAUGACCUUUAGAAAUUUAGGUGUAAUUGGUGUUAGAAUCUGAAGUUAAUACUUUGAAAGAUGGUUGCCAAGUAUUUGGCAAAUACAAUUUAGGAUUAAGUCAUUAAGCUAAGGCAUAGUAAAUAUCACUAUAAUAAACCUUGGUAUUUGGGUAAAAAUGGUCUCAUUUACAUUUGAACUUGCAUACCUUUUUUAUUUUUUGUAUCUACUUAAUAAUUUGAAAUGGAGACAGGGUCCAUACUUUAAUAAUUCAAAAAACUCAAAGAAAUUUUAUUUACGUUCAACAAUUUAAAUUAUAAAGUAAAAACCAAUUUAGUUUUGCGCCGAAACCAUGCGCGGCCUCCUGCAACUUCAUUUCUUCUGGACAAGGACUCUGCAAUUUAAUUUCUUCUGGAUGAUGACAGCCAAGGGUGAGAUCUUCUGGCGCUGAAGAUCAGAGGUCACAGAGGUAAUGUUCACACUGUCUAAUCCAUCUCUUAUUUGCAGGUUUUCAGCUGAAAUUAACUCCAUGUUUUUCUAACAGAGAUGACCCAGUGAGACCUGUCUUUCAGUGUAUAAGUCUGUUUUUAACCCAGUUUCUCUCCUAGACUAAGCCACUGGCUGACUUUUUGUUGCACUUAACUAUUGUUUCUUUUAGAUAAAGCCACCAAAGGAGCUUCUACUGCAACUAAUUUUCUUUUCUCCUAUAGAACUACUCCUGGAGUUUUUCUUUUUCUGUCUCCCUCUGCUCUUUCCUUUCAAAUCCCCUGGGGGUAGUGACAGAUGGCCUUUCUUACAAAGCCAACUUCUGGUUUUGCUGGAGGGUUCUUCCUGUUAAAAGGAAGCAUUUCCUCUCCACUGUCAUUACAUGCUUCCUCAAUAUGAGGCAUUGCUUUAGCUUACUCAACUUUUAAAUAAUUGGUGCAGUAUUCAUUUUUGGAAUGACUUCCUGUUAAAGGGAAGUUUUUCUUUCACUGUCACCACAUGAAUCCUCAAUAUGAGGCAUAGAUUCAGCUUGCUUUACUUUGAACCUAUUUAAACAAUUGGUGUAGUAUUAGCUUUUAAUUUGGAAAGUUUUCCUGUUAAAGGGAAGUAUUUCUUUCACUGUAACCACAUGGUUCCUCAAUAUGAGGCAUUGCUUAAGCUUACUCUACUUUUAAGCAAUUAGUGCAGUGUUAAUUUUUGGAAAGUCUUCCUGUUAAAGGGAAAUUUUCUCUCCACUGUGAUCACAUGAAUCCUCAAUAUGAGUCAUUGUUUAAGCUUAGUUACUUUAGUUUUGACCAAUUUAAAUAGUUGGUGCAGUGCUAGCUUUUUCUUUGGGAAGUCUUCCUGUUAAAGGGAAGUUUUUCCUCCACUGUCACCACAAGAAUCCUCAAUAUGAAUCAUUGCUUUUGCUUACUUUUAAUUUUAACCAAUAGAUUGAUGCAGACUUUGGAAAGUCUUCUUGUUAAAGGGAAGUUUUUUCCUCCACUCUUACCACAUGGAUCCUCAAUAAGCUUAUUUUCCUUUAAACCAAUUUAAAUUGGUGCAGUGUUAAUUUUUGGAAAGUCUUUCUGUUAAAGGGAGGUUUUUCCUUCACUGUUGCCACAUGAAGCCUCAAAAUGAGGAUUUAGCUGACUUUGCUUUAGCUUUAUUUUACUUGGCUUUUAACCAAUUUAAACAACUUGUGCAGUGUUAGGUUUUUCUUUGGGAAGUCUUCCCGUUAAAGGGAAGUUUUUCCUUCACUGUCACCACAUUGAGCCUCAAUAUGAGGCAUUGCUUAAGUUUAGGUAACUUAAAUAAAGUUUGACAACUGGUGUUCUAGUUCUGGAAAAUCUUCCUGUUAAAGGGAAGUUUUCCUUUCCACUGUAACUACAUGCAUGUUAAGUAUAAGGCAUUGCCUAAGCUUACUUAUGUAGCUUUUAACCAAUUUAAAUAACUGGUGCAGUGUUUACAUUCUUGGAGAAACUUCCUGUUAAAAGGAAGUUUUUCCUUUGCACUGUCACCACAUGCCUCCUCAGUGAGAGGCUUUAGCUCACAACUUUUAACAAAUAUUUGAUAACUGCAGUGCUUUUUUUUUUUUUUUUGUCUUCCUGUUAAAGGGAAGCUUUUCCUCUCCACAUGCAUCUACAGUAUGUCUCUGGUGAUGGAGAAUAGUUUUGAGCUCAAGGUUGGAGAAUUUAAGGCCUUGUCAACACCACAUGAUGUCUCUAGUGAUGGAGAGUAGUUUUGAGCUCAAGGUUGGGGAAUUUAAGGCCUUGUCAACACCACAUGAUGUCUCUAGUGAUGGAGAGUAGUUUUGAGCUCAAGGUUGGGGAAUUUAAGGCCUUGUCAACACCACAUGAUGUCUCUGGUGAUGGAGAGUAGUUUUGAGCUCAAGGUUGGGGAAUUUAAGGCCUUGUCAACACCACAUGGUAUCUGGACUGAGAAGAUUUGGAAACUGAUCAACUGUUUUUGUUGAGAUGGAGCCUCUGCAGACAUGUGAUGGCCUCAAACAUUUAGGAAAUAUGGAUAUCAAAAUGGUCGCCGUGGUACUGGACUUUGAACCCAACAUUAGGAAAUGUGGCUUGCUUCUUCCUGUAGCCACUCCUCAGGGAUUUUAAGUAAUCGGAUGAGUUCAAGGACAUUGGUAAGGAACAAGUACAACAAAGCGGUCAAUCCAUUACAUGGAGGAAAAACGCGAAAAAACGGUAUGUUCUGAUCAUGGGUAUGGUAACUGGAAUGGAUUUUGGAUUCACUCGGCGCAGGAAAAACACGGUAGGCUAUAUGAAAUGCAGGUGUUCUGAUUUUGGGUACAGCAAUUGGAACAGAUCUUGGAGACACAGGAAAAACAUGGUAGGCUAUAUGAAAUGUAUGUGUUGUGAUCAUGGGCAUGGUAACUGGAAUGGAUUUUGAAUUAAUUUCUGAUCUUGAGUAAUGUUUGAAAUGCAUGUAAUAUGUCAUAGUAUUAGAAAUACCUGUGUAGAAUCCAUUAUUUCUUCAGAUGAUGCCCACCGACUACACCUGAGAACGACGGGAUGGACGGGCUUUCUUCACCCCUGACCACUGCUGAUGGAAGACCUUAGUGACCCUACCAUCGGGCUGAGCAGUCUUCGAGAAAUGCUGCAGGAAUCCUCCUGGACCGUCUCAUUUCGCCCUUCGCCCCUCCAUCGACCGGAGAAGUUCUUAAUCAUUCCAUCGGACAGAAGAGGACUUCAUCGCCGCCCCCUCAUUGAUGGAUGACCUUAGUGACCCUACCAUUGUGCUGAGCAGUCUUCCUCGAGAAAUGCUGCAGGAAUACUCCUGGAUUCUUGUCUGAUUUCGCUCUUCAUCAACCAACGGAGAAGUUCAUCAUUCCACCGAACAUCGAACAGAAGAGGACUUCAUCGCCCCUCUGGACCCCCCAUUGAUGGAUGACCUACCAUUGGACUAGGCAGGUUUUCUGCAGGAAACCCUGCAAGUGUUCUCAUGUGAGCAGGAAUCUUCCUGGAUCAUCUUUUACCAUUCAUCGCCAGGCCCCAACCACGGAUGGAAAUGGAUUUCAUCGCCACUGACGGAAGGAGAAUUUUGUUUAUGGACUCUUUACAGACUUCAUUUUAUUUGUUUUUAUUUUGGGUAUUUAAAAUGUCUUCCAGUGUUAAAUGUUAGUUAGAAUUGAUUGUUUAUCAAUGUGUUUUUGUUUGUUCUCUCCAUAGAAGCCACACUUGGUUUGGUGUUAUGAUUGGCUGUCGUCCCUUCCUGGAGGAGCACAUUGGUUGACAUGAUGCUGCCAUCACCAAACAGUUCUCCCACUCCUGCUGUUAACUUGUCACUUCCAUGAACAUAGAAAGUUCUCCUGAUCAGGUGACCUAUUGUGUCUCUGCUCUGUCUUCUCUCAGCUCCCGUCAGUCGUGGCAGAUGGCUGCUGGUAC